Molecule: ribosomal RNA, 238 nt
Filed under: uncultured bacterium
Lineage: Bacteria
Description: partial 16S ribosomal RNA
Rfam family: Bacterial small subunit ribosomal RNA
Source: RNAcentral
GAUCAUGGCUCAGGACGAACGCUGGCGGCGCGCCUAACACAUGCAAGUCGAACGAGCGAGAGAGAGCUUGCUUUCUCGAGCGAGUGGCGAACGGGUGAGUAACGCGUGAGGAACCUGCCUCAAAGAGGGGGACAACAGUUGGAAACGACUGCUAAUACCGCAUAAGCCCACGACCCGGCAUCGGGUAGAGGAAAAGGAGCAAUCCGCUUUGUAGAUGGCCGUCCGCGUCCCGAUUAGU